RNAcentral lists this ribosomal RNA (253 nucleotides) under uncultured bacterium. RNAcentral's name for it is "partial 16S ribosomal RNA". It matches the Rfam family "Bacterial small subunit ribosomal RNA", at positions 524 to 776 of the family's 1533-position model. The record is from RNAcentral.
UACGAAGGGGGCUAGCGUUGCUCGGAAUCACUGGGCGUACAAGGGUGCGUAGGCGGGUCUUAAGUCAGGGGUGAAAUCCUGGAGCUCAACUCCAGAACUGCCUUUGAUACUGAGGAUCUUGAGUUCGGGAGAGGUGAGUGGAACUGCGAGUGUAGAGGUGAAAUUCGUAGAUAUUCGCAAGAACACCAGUGGCGAAGGCGGCUCACUGGCCCGAUACUGACGCUGAGGCACGAAAGCGUGGGGAGCAAACAGG